AAUACUUAGGAAUCUGCCUAUUAGUGGGGGACAACAUUUCGAAAGGAAUGCUAAUACCGCAUACGCCCUACGGGGGAAAGCAGGGGAUCUUCGGACCUUGCGCUAAUAGAUGAGCCUAAGUCAGAUUAGCUAGUUGGUGGGGUAAAGGCCUACCAAGGCGACGAUCUGUAACGGGUCUGAGAGGAUGAUCCGUCACACUGGGACUGAGACACGGCCCAGACUCCUACGGGAGGCAGCAGUGGGGAAUAUUGGACAAUGGGGGCAACCCUGAUCCAGCCAUGCCGCGUGUGUGAAGAAGGCCUUUUGGUUGUAAAGCACUUUAAGCGAGGAGGAGGCUCCUGUAGAUAAUACCUACAGUGAGUGGACGUUACUCGCAGAAUAAGCACCGGCUAACUCUGUGCCAGCAGCCGCGGUAAUACAGAGGGUGCGAGCGUUAAUCGGAUUUACUGGGCGUAAAGCGUGCGUAGGUGGCCAAUUAAGUCAAAUGUGAAAUCCCUGAGCUUAACUUAGGAAUUGCAUUCGAUACUGGUUGGCUAGAGUAUGGGAGAGGAUGGUAGAAUUCCAGGUGUAGCGGUGAAAUGCGUAGAGAUCUGGAGG
This 597-nucleotide ribosomal RNA is filed under the name uncultured bacterium. RNAcentral's name for it is "bacterial SSU rRNA". It matches the Rfam family "Bacterial small subunit ribosomal RNA", at positions 112 to 704 of the family's 1533-position model. The record is from RNAcentral.